GUCAGAUGCCCCAGUGUGACAUUUGUUCACUGACACCUGCUGUACAUAAAUAUGGCACCUCACUCAUUCAGGUGUUCACUUAAUGAGUGUCUACUGCACACCUUUGGUGUCUCCCAGAGUUGGUCUUAGCUGCUGGGGGUACAGCGAGAAAUCAGGCAGACGGGGUCCUGUCCUCCCAAAGCCCACAGUCUGGUGAGGGAGACAGAGAAGUUAGUUACAGACAGUGGAAGUGUUAGGAUAGGGCAAUAACAGGUGCCACCAGAGCCCGAGAGGGGCAGUCCCUGACUCAGACUUGGCAACUUAGGAAGUCUUCCUGGAAGAAGUGAUAUCCAAGCUGAGGCCCGAUGAGUAACUAGGGUUAGGUGAAGGUGGGGUGGAGGGCACGUGCAAAGGCCCAGAGCUGAGAGCGAGCGUGGCUCGUCGGAGAACUGAAAUGCUGUAGAGCUAGCACACAGGUGCGUGAAGCCGUGGUGGGUGCAGUGAGAUGCUUAAAGAGGUCAGCAUGGUAAGGAGCUUUGCGUUUUAUCCUGAGGCAGUGGAGGGGGCACUGAAAGGUUUGAAGCAGAGGAGUGACAUGCCAGGGUUGUAUUUUAGGAUGCAAGCUCUGGUUCAUCCAGAAAUCUCCCUAAGCAUCCGUCACAUGCCUCAAAUAACAGAUAUUCAGUACGUAUUGCUCAGGGAAACAUCCCAGAGGGGAUGGGAACACCACAGCCUGCCUCCAAGGAAUCUCACCGUCAGCUGUAGCAACAACAUGAGCAUCAGGCAGCCACCUGGCACCAAGGGGCAAGAUGCUGUCCGCCCCAGAGGAGGCCUAUGGACCAGGUGCUCAGACAACGGGGAGUUUUGGGGUGGCUGAGGUGGUCAGGAAGCCCUUCCUGGAGGAGGUGGGGCAGGUGCUGGCCUUGUGGGAUGAGUAGGUUUAGGGAAAUGAAAAGGGAAAGAGAAGCUGCUCAGGCCUGGGGAGGCAGGUGGUGUGAAAAGUGCCCGGCGCUUGGACUUAGAACACCUGAGUUCAAGGUCUACUUGCCAAUAGACAAGUAGCAAAUGCACCUAUCAUGGUUUUUGCAUGAGAAGAAGCUGGUGAGGCCCCUGCCUGCAAUGUACUCAUUGUGGAGUUCUGGCUUAUCAAGGCGCCCCUGACUCCCUCCACCAGGACCUGACUUCCGGCCUGGAAGAGUCCUUUUCGGGCCUGUUGUGGUAGGGCAGAGACUAAAAUACUCUGGACUCGGGAUGAGAAAAAAGCGGGACUGCACUCCUGGCAGCAUCCUGAGGGGCUGGGAUCCUGAACAAUCCAUUCUCUCAACCUUGCUCAUCUGUUUUCUUAUCAGUAUUUUCUCAGCUUACCUUUUCUGUUUUCUUCUCGGUAAAACGGGUACAAUUCCUCUUCUCACAGGGUGAAUGAGAGGAGUAAAUGAAACUUCGGCGUGGCGUGAAUAGUUGUGGAUGACUUCAGGAGUACCACUGCUGUGUAGACAGAACAGAGUGUCCCUGUAGCAUCUCCCUCUGCCACAACUGAUGCAGCACUGCGGCCGUCCCCUCUGUCGCUGGUAGACAGGCAGAUCAUCAACGCCCACGCAGCCCCAGCUGGCGCUCUGCAGAGCCCAUGAAGCUGUUUGGCCUCGGGCCAGGAUGGGCCUACAAAGCCAGAAGCAUCUGAUGUGGCAUGUCUGACGCACCUCCUAAGCCAGCCGCUGGCUGCUCCUGUCCCUGUUUACUCCUCUGGCACUGGCUUCUAAGGCAGGGGCGGGAGCUGGAGGGAGAGACAGCGUUAGAUUUCCCAGGAAGAAAAGGAUUCCAUGACUCUAAGAAGUCCUAAAACCAAUGAUCUAUCCAGCAGUCAUUCUCAAAGCUGCCUGUGCAUCGGGAUCAACUGGGUGACUUGUCCUCUCCCAUAGCCAGUAAGGCUGAAGAAGUCCUGAAGAAGUGCUGGACUUGCCCUUCAACAUCCAGAGGUGCCCUUCCAGGCUCUACUUCCCUCGUCCUCUGCUGGGCUGCCACCAGUUCACCGGGUUGCUGGGAGGACUGAUAACAGCAUGUGUGGUGGUUGACAUGUGCUGUUGUCUGCCCAUCACCCAUUUCCCCUGCAUCUAAUUACAGAAUGCCCCUUGUCCCUUAGGCACCCACCCUUUCCCACUCUCAAGUCAUGUGGUAUAAGCAACACUAACCCUCAUGGUACCCCCAAUUCUAAUGGGGUCUCUUCCCCUGCAUCCUGGGGUGUGUGACUUGGGCCUGUUCAAUCUCUGUGUUCCAUGCCUCUUGCCACAAGACUUGAUUUGAGAUGGACAACAAACCCAGUCUAUUCUAUAAGAGUCAAUUCCUGGACCUUGGGCUCAAACUCUUGGGGGAGAGAAAUUCUGUUUCUAGUAGGGUUGUCGAGCUGCAAGAUUUGAGUCUGGAGCUUUCAACAACCAUUUUGCAGCUUCCUAGGGGAAAGCUAGUCUGAGAAUGAAGUUAGCACAGAGCCAAGGGACCAAGACACAGAGACCCUAAGCUGCUGGAUCCAACUGGGCCUGAUGCCAGACAACCCUGUACAUCUCAGUCACAUGAACCAAUAAAUUUUCCUUUCUUGGUCAACCUGAUCUGAGUUGACAUUCUGCUCCUUGCAAUAAAAAAAAAAAUAACUAAUAUAGCAUGAGUUUUUGAAAAAGCUGAACUAUGUUCUUCUUUGGCUGAGUCAUAUAUGUAUAAAGGGGAGUAGGAGAGAAAAGGUUGGGAAAUUAGGCUGCAGAUACACGGCAGGGGGCCUUGAAGACUUGAGAUGGGCCACCCAGUCUCUGAGACCACCCGACCACAGGAUCUCCUGAGGCCAGGUGAUCCUAGGAGUUGCCAA
Molecule: long non-coding RNA, 2830 nt
Organism: Equus asinus (donkey)
Lineage: Eukaryota; Metazoa; Chordata; Mammalia; Perissodactyla; Equidae
Source: Ensembl